Molecule: ribosomal RNA, 1488 nt
Filed under: uncultured Bordetella sp.
Lineage: Bacteria; Pseudomonadati; Pseudomonadota; Betaproteobacteria; Burkholderiales; Alcaligenaceae
Description: partial 16S-23S ribosomal RNA intergenic spacer
Rfam family: Bacterial small subunit ribosomal RNA
Source: RNAcentral
CUGGAUACCAGUAGUAACAGGUUUGAUUCUGGCCUGUAGAUUGAACGCUGGCGGGAUGCUUUACACAUGCAAGUCGAACGGCAGCACGGACUUCGGUCUGGUGGCGAGUGGCGAACGGGUGAGUAAUGUAUCGGAACGUGCCUAGUAGCGGGGGAUAACUAUUGGGCGAAAGGUAGCUAAUACCGCAUACGCCCUUCGGGGGAAAGCGGGGACCUCUUCGGGCCUCGCACUAUUAGAGCGGCCGGAUAUCGGAUUAGCUAGUUGGUGGGGUAACGGCUCACCAGCGACGAUCCGUAGCUGGUUUGAGAGGACGACCAGCCACACUGGGACUGAGACACGGCCCAGACUCCUACGGGAGUGCAGCAGUGGGGAAUUUUGACAAUGGGGAAACUCCUGGACCCAGCCAUCCCGCGUGUGCGAUGAAGGCCUUCGGGUUGUAAAGCACUUGGCAGGGAAGAAACGGCACGGGAUAAUACCCCGUGCAACUGACGGUACCUGCAGAAUAAGCACCGGCUAACUACGCCAGCAGCUGCGGUAAUACGUAGGGUGCAAGCGUUAAUCGGAAUUACUGGCGUAUGCAGGCGGUUCGGAAAGAAAGAUGUGAAAUCCCAGAGCUUAACUUUGGAACUGCAUUUUUAACUACCGAGCUAGAGUGUCAGGGAGGGAGGUGGAAUUCCGCGUGUAGCAGUGAAAUGCGUAGAUAUGCGGAGGAACACCGAUGGCGAAGGCAGCCUCCUGGGAUAACACUGACGCUCAUGCACGAAAGCGUGGGGAGCAAACAGGAUUAGAUACCCUGGUAGUCCACGCCCUAAACGAUGUCAACUAGCUGUUGGGGCCUUCGGGCCUUGGUAGCGCAGCUAACGCGUGAAGUUGACCGCCUGGGAAAAUAAGUCGCAAGAUUAAAACUCAAAGGAAUUGACGGGGACCCGCAUAAGCGGUGGAUGAUGUGGAUUAAUUCGAUGCAACGCGAAAAACCUUACCUACCCUUGACAUGUCUGGAAUCCCGAAGAGAUUUGGGAGUGCUCGCAAGAGAACCGGAACACAGGUGCCAUGGCUGUCGUCAGCUCGUGUCGAGAUGUUGGGUUAAGUCCCGCAACGAGCGCAACCCUUGUCAUUAUUGCUGGCCAGAAAGGGCACUCUAAUGAGACUGCCGGUGACAAACCGAGGAAGGUGGGGAUGACGUCAAGUCCUCAUGGCCCUUAUGGGUAGGGCUUCACACGUCAUACAAUGGUCGGGACAGAGGGUCGCCAACCCGCGAGGGGGAGCCAAUCCCAGAAACCCGAUCGUAGUCCGGAUCGCAGUCUGCAACCUGACUGCAGAAGUCGGAAUCGCUAGUAAUCGCGGAUCAGCAUGUCGCGGUGAAUGUUCCCGGGUCUUGUACACACCGCCCGUCACACCAUGGGAGUGGGUUUUACCAGAAGUAGUUAGCCUAACCGGGAGGGCGAUUACCACGGCAGGAUUCAUGAUCAGGUAAAGUCAACAAGGUAG